RNAcentral lists this long non-coding RNA (1152 nucleotides) under Anser brachyrhynchus (Pink-footed goose). RNAcentral's name for it is "lncRNA (ENSABRG00000022912.1)". The record is from RNAcentral. Lineage: Eukaryota; Metazoa; Chordata; Aves; Anseriformes; Anatidae.
CCACUGUAUUAACAAGAGGAGAGACAACAGGGCAGGAACUGUUAUUCCAGGCUUAAUUAUUCAUCUUAUACCCAAAAGUGCAGCUAUGAUUAAACUGAAGAGCAGUUAGGCAUUUUCAAAUGGAAGUGACGCUGCAGCAGUGGAGAGAGGCGUAUUUCAAGGGCUUGGAUGAAAGCCCAUUGAAGACAACUGGAAUUUUCUUACUGACUGCUGGAAGACAUUAUUGAAAGGAGGAAACAUUAAGGAUAACAAAACUUAUCUGAAGCUUUCUGCCUGGGGUUUGGGGAUGGGUUAAAUGACUUCUCUUUGUGCUCCCAAUAGGCUUUAGUUUCUCUGACUCUAUGAAACUUAAGGAAACCAUUUGAGCACCAUUCUGAAGGACAAAGAUCUGCAGAUCCCAGGAGGAAGCACAAAAUGGUCCUUUGAAGGGGUUUUCUACUGAGGAGUAAACUUUCUCACCUAGCUCUGAAUUUUCAAAGUAACUUGAGACAAACGUAGGUAAGAGUGAAGUUGGCUAAUUUCUGCCAAAAAGUCAGGCUUCUGGUUGGAAAUAGUCAUUUAAGCCAUAGAAAGGGAGGCUGUUACCUUCGGAGGAUGAGUCAUCCCACCCACUUCAGACACCGCACAUUAGAAGAGGUGACUCAUGCUCUGGAAAUGCCUCCCUUUCUCUUUGCAGCCUGUAGAUGAAGCCUACAUCACUGGCUUAGACAUGUAAAUUUUACUCGGCUAAAACUAGUUAAAAGUAAUCUUUGCUUUGCUGAAGAAGACACAAAUAUUACUGUGCCUCACAGUACUGCAAAGUUUGAUGAUGGACAUCAAGCCACUGCUGUACGAUCCGGCAAGUGGAGCUGCAUGAUGGACCACUGGCCCUAAACAGGACUGAAUUUAGUACUUGCUGCACAUGGAUCAGUUGUCCCAGCCUUAGACUGUAGUCUCAUCUGAACUCUCUUGGGAGACAGCAGCAAUUCUUUCUGUGCUUCCUGCUAUUGGGCAGAGGGUGAGCACUCAGAGCCCAGGUUGUCUUCAAAACCCCCUUCCUCCUCCUCUGCCAUGCCACUUGGCCAUCACGAUGCGUUCUUCCCACCGAGCUCCUCAUCCUUAGACCACUGUCUCUGGAAGGCUUGGCUCGGUGUCUCUGACACCACCAGGACA